Molecule: unclassified non-coding RNA, 19 nt
Filed under: synthetic construct
Source: RNAcentral
GACCAUCCGCAGUGUAUUA